This 199-nucleotide long non-coding RNA is filed under the name Trifolium pratense (red clover). RNAcentral's name for it is "long non-coding RNA (TPRA_LNC005128)". Lineage: Eukaryota; Viridiplantae; Streptophyta; Magnoliopsida; Fabales; Fabaceae. The record is from RNAcentral.
AUUUGCCUUGAAAACGUGAAAAAGAACACUAGUCUGCUGUUUUUCGCCCCGGGCGAAAAAACCUGUGCCCCGGGCGAAAUUUGAAGCAGGAAAAAGGGAGCUCUCUGUUUUCUUUUCGCCCCAGGCGAAAACACUGGUGCCUCAGGCGAAAAUUUUCGCCCCAAGCGAAAAAACUGGUGCCUCGGGCGAAAAUCGCUGC